GGCGGCGGGGCGACGGCGGGGGCCCGCGGCGGCGCUCGGGCGGGCGGACUACUUGACGUGUCGGUGCGGCGAAUUUAUUUCACUUUGCCUAAGGAACGGGGUGUGCUGCGGCGCCCAUUGCCUAGGGAAAAAACCCGGAUGUAAAGUCAACCCAAAGAAGAUUUGAAGUCUGUCUGGAAACCUGAGGGUCCCACUUCUUUACGGAGGCAGAGAGGGAGCAUGGAAACCUGGAAAUCUGAAGAACAAGUUGAUGCAACUAUAUGAGUGAAACCCUGUGAUACAAUGUAACAUCCCAAAUUCCAACCAAGUGAAAGCAGCAUUCAACAGUAGUGUGCAACCUUCUAUCUUCCACGUUAAAUCAGGCCACAGGAACAACUGUAAACCUACUUUUGCCCACCCCUGUAUAAUUGCGGCCCUUUGCCGAGUACUCAGUGCAGAGGGAGAGGCUGUGAUGUUUGUUCUGCGGAGUCGGCAGUACUCGGAGCUCAGGAGCAGCUCCCUAGCACAGGGACAGCGCGGACCCGCGUGAACACAGAGGGCCUAGGCCUGCCCCGUGCCUGCUUCCUGACAUCAGCUCCGUCAUCGCAGCUCAACUGUUGUCUGCCAGGAUUUCCUAUCCGAGCGAGGUUCCCUAUCCAGGUAUGAGUUAACCGGACGUUAAAAAGACCCCACCUGAUGUGUGUGUCUGUGUGUGCACAUGUAGUUUUUUUUUCUCCUGGAAAGAAACAAGGAUUUUUCCACACUCCCCUGAGCAAAACCAGCUGAGCUGAGUUAGCUCAAACUUCUCGAAAACAAUUCACCUCUGCCCUUAGACCAGAUAGGGAAUGUUUCCACCCCAAGGUAGACUCGUGGGAGGAGUGGUGUUAGAAAAACCACAAGUGAUUCUGAAGAGGGUCAGCGUGAAAUCAUCACGAACCCCAAUCCCUUCAGCUUAGAAUGUGGCAAGUUUUGAUUGUUUGCUUGUGUCUUUAUUUUAUUUUUAUUUUUUUGCUUGUGUCCUUUAAAAAAAUGCAAGUACAGCCAUUAUUUUACCUGGAACUCAGACAUGGAAGGCUCUACCUCUGCUCUCUCCACAUAUUUUAUACUGUGCGCAUCAACCUCUCACAUUUGCUCUUGUCUCUGAGUCUAAUCAUCCCAAGGUCCCUGGACUCAGCAAUCACACCUCAGCAGUUCUUCAAACUACACACGGAAAAUGUGCUGCUCCCUCAUCCUCCCGCUGACCCCCUCCCCACCUCAGGACCAGAUGUCUAGAACGAGAUGCUAAUCUGAAAAGCCCUUCUAGAUUGUCGCUGAUGUGUGAACCAAGUUAUCACCCACCCCACAAUACAGGGAGCUUUUCUUAAAGCUAAAUGGAUUGCAUUUUUAACUCAUACAUGAUACCCUUUUUAAUUUUUUGUUUUCAAGUAUUCUUUUAUGAACAUUUAGCGAAAAUAGAUGGUGGUUAGUUGUGUUAUUUUUUUAUACUGUUCUUACUUGGCAAAACUGAAAAUUGGCAAAAUAAAAAGUUGGCAACUUAUGCACAUCAAAAUACAUUUUGAGAUUUUCCUAGCCUAUAAAUUCCAAAAGUCUGGGAAUCACCUGGAAAAGGAGCCAAGUGCAUGAAUUGAAGGAAAUAUAUAUGAACUGGGUACGUGCUGGGCUCAUAUGCAUCAUUUCAUCUCAUCCUUACAACAACGCUGCAGGGAGGGCAAUAGCAUUUCCAUUUGACGGAUCCGAGAAGUGGGGCUUUCAGAGGUUGACUUGCCUUCUGGAAGGGAGACGGGAAAGGCCAGGAUUUGAACCCAGGCUGUAUGAAACCAGACCCAGAGUCUCCCCUUCCACCUCACAAUGUCUACUCUUGAACUCACACAUACAACGGGAGAUUCAGAAAAGCAUCUAAAAUUGAAGCCGGUGUAGAGCCUUCACAGAAGCCACUGCGAAUAAAUACAUUCAUAGAUCAAGAUCAAUCCUUGAGAAAAAUACCACAUGAUCUCACUCAUUCAUGGAUAAUAGA
This is a long non-coding RNA of Myotis myotis, 1993 nucleotides long. RefSeq lists it as uncharacterized. NCBI's taxonomy places the organism in Eukaryota, Metazoa, Chordata, Mammalia, Chiroptera, Vespertilionidae. The transcript has 4 exons. The record is from RefSeq and is a predicted model, not a curated record.